This 452-nucleotide unclassified non-coding RNA is filed under the name Hevea brasiliensis (rubber tree). Lineage: Eukaryota; Viridiplantae; Streptophyta; Magnoliopsida; Malpighiales; Euphorbiaceae. The record is from RNAcentral.
GUUCAGGAGGAAUUAGAUUUCUGGCCUGAGAAAAACCUUCGUGAAAGAAAAUGGAUGAGUGUGGCAGAUGCAAAGGAAUGCUGUCAACAUUGGUGGAUGAAGGAAGCCUUAGAUAGAUUAGUUAAUCGACUCAGGUCUCAGAAACAACUUGAAGAGGAAGAAUUAGCAUCUUGUAUUUUAAGCUUUCAGAGCAAAUCCAACUUGUAAAUAGGCAGAAUUGUUGAUGAACACAGCCAUAGGUGGCUUUUAGAAUUUAGACCAGGCGAAGUGCAAAGGCUAGUGGGAAUUGAAAUGAACAAGAAAGGGUCUCUUUGAUUUUCAUGCUAUCCCUUUCUUAGAAUUUCAAUUAUAAAUUCUUGUUAGGUAUAUUUUAGUGGGAACGCCGGAAAAAAAAAAGGAUCAAGAUAACAUUUGUACAACAUGGUUUCUAAAUGCAAAGAAUUUUGGAAGGG